RNAcentral lists this ribosomal RNA (253 nucleotides) under uncultured bacterium. RNAcentral's name for it is "partial 16S ribosomal RNA". It matches the Rfam family "Bacterial small subunit ribosomal RNA", at positions 524 to 776 of the family's 1533-position model. The record is from RNAcentral.
UACGUAGGGGGCAAGCGUUGUCCGGAUUUAUUGGGCGUAAAGAGCGUGUAGGCGGCCAGAUAGGUCCGUUGUGAAAACUGGAGGCUUAACCUCCAGCUGUCGAUGGAAACCAUCUGGCUAGAGUCCGGAAGAGGAAAGCGGAAUUCCAGGUGUAGGAGUGAAAUCCGUAGAUAUCUGGAGGAAUACCGAUGGUGAAGACAGCUUUCUGGCUCGUAACUGACACUGAGAUUCGAAAGCUUGGGUAGCAAACAGG